RNAcentral lists this ribosomal RNA (253 nucleotides) under uncultured bacterium. RNAcentral's name for it is "partial 16S ribosomal RNA". It matches the Rfam family "Bacterial small subunit ribosomal RNA", at positions 524 to 776 of the family's 1533-position model. The record is from RNAcentral.
UACGUAGGGUGCGAGCGUUAAUCGGAAUUACAGGGCGUAAAGUGUGCGCAGGUGGCCGCGCAAGUCGAGUGUGAAAUCCCCGAGCUUAACUUGGGAAUUGCGCUCGAAACUACGUGGCUCGAGUGUGGCAGAGGAAGGUGGAAUUCCACGUGUAGCGGUGAAAUGCGUAGAGAUGUGGAGGAACACCGAUGGCGAAGGCAGCCUUCUGGGCCAACACUGACGCUCAUGCACGAAAGCGUGGGGAGCAAACAGG